AACGGUCUAUACCUGCGGUACCUGCGGAAGGAUCAUUAUAGAGUGGUAAACCCUCCGUAAAAGGGGGGGACCUCCUGUCCUUUGUAGGCUCUUUUUUAAAGGGCUUUUUUAAUUUUCUGCUUCGGUGGGGUUAUCCCACCGGAACAACCUCAAAACUCUGAUCAAAAAAUCGUUCUGUCUGAGAACCUUUUAUAAUAAAAAAAACUUUCAACAACGGAUCUCUAGAUCGGAAGAGCACAC
RNAcentral lists this unclassified non-coding RNA (240 nucleotides) under soil metagenome. RNAcentral's name for it is "partial contains 5.8S ribosomal RNA, internal transcribed spacer 2, and large subunit ribosomal RNA". The record is from RNAcentral.